Gymnothorax javanicus (giant moray) is the source of this 71-nucleotide non-coding RNA. The record is from the annotation of a GenBank genome assembly. Lineage: Eukaryota; Metazoa; Chordata; Actinopteri; Anguilliformes; Muraenidae.
GGCACGGUGGCUUAGUGGUUAGCACUGCCUUCACAGCAAGAAGGUUGUGGGUUUGAAUCCAGCCUGGGGCU